Molecule: ribosomal RNA, 373 nt
Filed under: Nocardia otitidiscaviarum
Lineage: Bacteria; Bacillati; Actinomycetota; Actinomycetes; Mycobacteriales; Nocardiaceae
Description: bacterial SSU rRNA
Rfam family: Bacterial small subunit ribosomal RNA
Source: RNAcentral
GAGACUGCCGGGGUCAACUCGGAGGAAGGUGGGGACGACGUCAAGUCAUCAUGCCCCUUAUGUCCAGGGCUUCACACAUGCUACAAUGGCCGGUACAGAGGGCUGCGAUACCGCGAGGUGGAGCGAAUCCCUUAAAGCCGGUCUCAGUUCGGAUCGGGGUCUGCAACUCGACCCCGUGAAGUUGGAGUCGCUAGUAAUCGCAGAUCAGCAACGCUGCGGUGAAUACGUUCCCGGGCCUUGUACACACCGCCCGUCACGUCAUGAAAGUCGGUAACACCCGAAGCCGGUGGCCUAACCCUCUGGGAGGGAGCCGUCGAAGGUGGGAUUGGCGAUUGGGACGAAGUCGUAACAAGGUAGCCGUACCGGAAGGUGC